GACGAACGCUGGCGGCGUGCUUAACACAUGCAAGUCGAACGGAAAGGCCCUGCUUUUGUGGGGUGCUCGAGUGGCGAACGGGUGAGUAACACGUGAGUAACCUGCCCUUGACUUUGGGAUAACUUCAGGAAACUGGGGCUAAUACCGGAUAGGAGCUCCUGCUGCAUGGUGGGGGUUGGAAAGUUUCGGCGGUUGGGGAUGGACUCGCGGCUUAUCAGCUUGUUGGUGGGGUAGUGGCUUACCAAGGCUUUGACGGGUAGCCGGCCUGAGAGGGUGCCCGGCCACAUUGGGACUGAGAUACGGCCCAGACUCCUACGGGAGGCAGCAGUGGGGAAUAUUGCACAAUGGGCGGAAGCCUGAUGCAGCAACGCCGCGUGCGGGAUGACGGCCUUCGGGUUGUAAACCGCUUCCGCCUGUGACGAAGCGUGAGUGACGGUAAUGGGUAAAGAAGCACCGGCUAACUACGUG
This 468-nucleotide ribosomal RNA is filed under the name uncultured bacterium. Its description in RNAcentral is "partial 16S ribosomal RNA". It matches the Rfam family "Bacterial small subunit ribosomal RNA", at positions 28 to 507 of the family's 1533-position model. The record is from RNAcentral.